Molecule: ribosomal RNA, 1186 nt
Filed under: metagenome
Description: SSU rRNA
Rfam family: Eukaryotic small subunit ribosomal RNA
Source: RNAcentral
CUCCUAUUUAAACCUGCUUCAGUGCUCUUCAUUGCGUGCUGUUGUAGGCCGGUACAAUUACUUUGAACAAAUUAGAGUGCUUAAAGCAGGCUCCAAAUGCCUGAAUAUUUUGUGCAUGGAAUAAUGAAAUAAGACCUCUGUUCUACUUUCAUUGGUUUUUAGAUCAAGAGGUAAUGAUUAAUAGAAGCAGUUUGGGGGCAUUAGUAUUACGACGCGAGAGGUGAAAUUCUUGGACCGUCGUAAGACUAACUUAAGCGAAAGCAUUUGCCAAAGAUGUUUUCAUUAAUCAAGAACGAAAGUUAGAGGCUCGAAGGCGAUCAGAUACCGCCCUAGUUCUAACCAUAAACGAUGCCAGCUAGCAAUUGGGUGUAGCUACUAUUAUGGCUCUCUCAGUCGCUUCCCGGGAAACCAAAGCUUUCGGGCUCCGGGGGAAGUAUGGUUGCAAAGCUGAAACUUAAAGGAAUUGACGGAAGGGCACCACCAGGAGUGGAGCCUGCGGCUUAAUUUGACCCAACACGGGAAAACUUACCAGGUCCGAACAUAAGCGUGUAAGACAGAUUGAUAGCUCUUUCUCGAAUCUAUGGGUGGUGGUGCAUGGCCGUUCUUAGUUCGUGGAGUGAUUUGUCUGGUUAAUUCCGAUAACGAACGAGACUCAAAUAUAUUAAAUAGAUGCUUUCAGGAUUAUGGUGUUUGAAGCUUUUAUAGCCUUCAUUCAUGAAUGCAGUAACAUGUGUGAGUGUUUGAAUGUGUUUAUAAAGGUGGAGCCGUACCUGUUGGUUUGUCCCAUUAUAAGGACACUAGCUUCUUAAAUGGACAAAUUGCGUCUAGCAAUAAUGAGAUUGAGCAAUAACAGGUCUGUGAUGCCCUUAGAUGUCCUGGGCUGCACGCGCGCUACAAUGAAAGUAUCAACGUGUAUUUCCUAGACCGAGAGGUCCGGGUAAACCGCUGAACCACUUUCAUGCUUGGGAUUGUGAACUGAAACUGUUCACAUGAACUUGGAAUUCCCAGUAAGUGUGAGUCAUUAACUCGCAUUGAUUACGUCCCUGCCCUUUGUACACACCGCCCGUCGCUACUACCGAUUGAAUUAUUUAGUGAGGUCUCCGGACGUGAUCACUGUAACGCCUUGCGUGUUACGGAUGUUUCGCAAAAGUUGACCGAACUUGAUUAUUUAGAGGAAGUAAAAGUC